GAAAAUUAAAAUAUUUAAAAACAAUUAAAAUGCUUACUUCUGUUUUAGACGGAAUACGAAUAUUAACAGAAAUUAGUGAAAUUACAAAAAAAAAAAAAAGAAUUCGGUCAUGUUCAGUGAGGGAAAUAAACAGAAAGAGGAAAAAUUAUGGUUUUUUUGCACGUUUCCUAGAAAUGAAAAGGAUUGACCACACUCAUUUCUGUAUAUACACACGAAUGACGCCACAAGUAUAUGGACUUUUGCUUACUCUUGUUGAGCCCUUUUUAAAAAAGAAUUCGUUGAGGGAGCCUGUGCAUCCGGAAUGUCGAUUAGCUUUGACAUUACAAUAAUUAUCAGAAGGAACUUCGUUUCAAUCGUUGGCAUGGUCAUUUCAACUGGGGAAGGACACGGUUAGGCGUAUUAUUCUGGAGACAGCUGAAGUCCUUUGGACGAAGUUAGGCGUCGUUUAUGUAUCUGAGCCUAAUGAUGAGGAUUUCAAGCGAAUUUCUCAAAAUUUCUAUUGAUGUGAAGCACCUAAAAGCGAUAGUAAAUUUUUCUGCUACAAAAAAUUUUGUUCUAUUGUGUUGUUAGCAGUAUGCGAUUCACGAUAUCGGUUUACUUACAUAGAUAUUGGUGCAUAUGGAAGUCAGAGUGAUGGUGGCAUUUUUCAAGUGAGUCGAUUGGGAAAGAGGUUGCUAAAUCACAAACUUCCCAUCCCUCCACCGAAAGACUUACCAAAUACGCAACUAAAAACUCCACACUUCUUCGUUGGUGAUACUGCCUUUCCUUUAGGGAUAAAUUUAAUGCGCCCAUACCCUGGGUGAGUCCUACCAAAUAAAAAAGAGGUUUUUAAUAAAAGGUUAUCAAGAGCUCGUCGCACAAUUGAAAACUCUAUUGGAAUACUAGUAACGCGUUGGCGAGUUUUACUAACAACAUUACAUUUAUUUCCGGAAAAUGCGGAAAAAAUUGUUUUGGCGUGCGUUGCCUUACAUAAUUUUAUUAUGUUUAAUAAUGAAAAUGCAUCUUCGUAUAUAGCAAGCAACUAUGCUGAUUGGGAGGACUCUAAUGGUGAAUUUCAUGACGGUUUAUUGCGCAGAAAAGAAUAUCCCAUCGAUUGUGCAAUCUUCCAAUUUGGAUCAUUACGGUCGAAGAAGUUCUUUGGAAAUUAGAAAUAACUUA
Long non-coding RNA from Bactrocera latifrons, 1158 nucleotides. RefSeq lists it as uncharacterized. The record is from RefSeq and is a predicted model, not a curated record. NCBI's taxonomy places the organism in Eukaryota, Metazoa, Arthropoda, Insecta, Diptera, Tephritidae. The transcript has 3 exons.